This 494-nucleotide ribosomal RNA is filed under the name uncultured bacterium. RNAcentral's name for it is "partial 16S ribosomal RNA". It matches the Rfam family "Bacterial small subunit ribosomal RNA", at positions 28 to 507 of the family's 1533-position model. The record is from RNAcentral.
GACGAACGCUGGCGGCGUGCUUAACACAUGCAAGUCGAACGGUGAAGCGCCUUCCUUUUUGGUGGGUGUGGAUGAGUGGCGAACGGGUGAGUAACACGUGAGUAACCUGCCCCCUUCUUCUGGAUAACCGCAUGAAAGUGUGGCUAAUACGGGAUAUUCUGGGUCUGUCGCAUGAUGGGUCUGGGAAAGAUAUUGUUUCGGUGGGGGAUGGGCUCGCGGCCUAUCAGCUUGUUGGUGGGGUGAUGGCCUACCAAGGCGGUGACGGGUAGCCGGCCUGGGAGGGUGGACGGUCACACUGGGACUGAGACACGGCCCAGACUCCUACGGGAGGCAGCAGUGGGGAGUAUUGCACAAUGGGCGCAAGCCUGAUGCAGCGACGCCGCGUGAGGGAUGGAGGCCUUCGGGUUGUGAACCUCUUUCGCCAGUGAAGCAGGCCUGCCUCGUUUGUGGGUGGGUUGACGGUAGCUGGAUAAGAAGCGCCGGCUAACUACGUG